CUACCAUGCAGUCGACGGCAGCAAGAGGACUUGCUCCUUGUGUGGCGAGUGGCGGACGUGUGACGAAUAAUCUGACUCUACUUUGUCGUGGGGGAUAACGUAGGAAAGCUUACACUAAUACCGUACACCACCUAAAGGUGAAAGCUGGGCACCCUCGGCCCUUGCGCGAUUGAAUGAGCCGAAUUCGGAUUAUCUAGUUGGCGGGGUAAAGGCCCACCACGGCCACUAUCCGUACCUGGUCUGAGAGGAUGAUCACCCACACUGGAACUGAGACCCGGUCCAUACUCCUAGGGGAGGCGGCAGUGGGGAAUAUUGGACAAUGGGCGCAAGCCUGAUCCACCCAUACCGCGUGGGUGAACAAGGCCUUCGGGUUGUAAAGCCCUUUUGUUGAGAAAGAGUUCCAUCUGGCUAAUACCCGGUUGACGAUGACUGUACCCAAAAAAUACGCACCGGCUAACUUCGUGCCCCCCGCCGCUGUAAUACGAGGGGUGCUAGCUUUACUCUGAAUUACUGAGCGUAAAGCGUGCCUACGUGGUCUUUUAAAUCCGUUGUGACAGCCCUGGGCUCGACCUGGGAACUGCAUUGUAUACUGGGCGACUAUAGUGUAG
RNAcentral lists this ribosomal RNA (608 nucleotides) under uncultured bacterium. Its description in RNAcentral is "bacterial SSU rRNA". It matches the Rfam family "Bacterial small subunit ribosomal RNA", at positions 49 to 651 of the family's 1533-position model. The record is from RNAcentral.